This 15193-nucleotide long non-coding RNA is filed under the name Marmota monax (woodchuck). Lineage: Eukaryota; Metazoa; Chordata; Mammalia; Rodentia; Sciuridae. The record is from RNAcentral.
AGAGGAUGACAGGUCUCUGUCAACUGGAGUGGGAGAAGCCUUCCUGGAGAAGAGGGAGCCUGGGAGCACAAGGACACUUCCAAUAGGCAGAGCGGAAGUGGCUGGCUGGGGCACAGUGGGUGCUGUGCUGAGCACUGGGGCAGGAGCUGACCCCCUAGAAGGGAACCCAUCAUCAGUCAGCAAGAGUGUGUGCAGGAAGGGUGCCUGGGGUCCCCAUUAUGAUGCAGCAGAAGGAGGAACUGGGGCUGAGGAAGGGAGGACUGAAGCAGAGGUGUGUUUUAAAUCCUGCUGCCCUAAAUCAAUGACCUUUGGUGGAGCUAUAGCACUCCUGACAGGGAAAGGUUGGAAAUGUGGCAGCAAUUUUGGUUAGGACAGGAGAAGGUGCAGGUGGAGGCCUGGGAUUCCAUGUGAGCACCAGACAGUGUCUCAAGUCUCCCUUGACCUGCAAAUGUAAAAUGAGAGACCUGUUCAGGAUGAUCCAAGUCCAGGACUUACAGGACCCAGCUUAGUUCUGCAUAAGAACAGUGUCCAACCCUGGCCUUUCUAGCUCUGCUAAUCCUGGGUUUUUCCCCUGAUGGGGUAACAACCUUGAGUGUAGACUGAGGAGUGGGAUAGCUGGGUUUAAUUGUGGUUCCAUUCCAAGUUUUCCAAGGAAACUCCAUACUGCUUUCCAAAUUGAUUGCUCCAAUCUGCAGUCCCACCAGAAAUGUAUGAGUGUGCCUUUUCCCUACUUCCUCACCAACACUUAUUUUGUUUGUAUUCUUUUUUUUUCAACUGCUCCCAGCUGUUGCUUCAUAAAGGAGAAGGAAUUUUAAACUAGGCAGUUGAAGAAACACUAACAUCUCAAACUAACCCAUUUUAUAUCCCUUUUUGAAAAUUUUCUGAACAUGAAAAUUUUGCUUUAAAACCUUUUUUUAUUUUAUUGAUUUUUAAAAAAUAAAUGACAGUGGAAUGCAUUACAAUUCAUAUUACACAUAUAGAGCACAAAUUUUUAUAUCUCUGGUUGUAUAUGAAGUGUAUUCACACCAAUUUGGGUCUUCAUACAUGUACUUUGGAUAAUGAUGUCCAUCAUAUUCCACCAUCAUUGCUAACCCUCUGCCCUCUCCCUUCCUCUCCCACCCCUUUCCCCUAUCUAGAGUUCUUCUAUUCCUCCCAUGCUCUCCCUCCCUAUUCCACUAUAAGUCAGUCACGUUAUAUCAGAGAAAACAUUCAGCAUUUGUUUCUUUGGGAUUAGCUAUGUUGUUUAUAUUCUUGAUAACUGCCAUUCUGACUGAGAUGAAAUGGAUGGAGUUAAAGAAUAUCAUGCUAAGUGAAGUAAGCCAAUCCCCCCAAACCUGAAUGUUCUCUCUGAUAAGUGGGUGCCGAUCCAUAAUGGAGGGGGGCUUGGGAAAAAUGGAGGAGCUUUGAUUGGGAAAAGGGUAGGAAAGUGAGGGAAGGGAAGGAAAGAUGGUGGAAUGAGAUGGAUAUCAUUACCCUAGAUAGAUGUAUGAGUGCACAUAUAGUGCAAUGCUACAUCUUGUACAACCAGAGAAAUGAAAAGUUGUGCUGCAAUAUCACAGCAGAAUGUAUUACAACUUAUAUUAUACAUAUAUAACACAAUGUUUCAUAUCUUUUGUUGUAUACAAAGUAUAUUCACACUGUUCAUGUUUUCAUACAUGUAUUUAGGGUAAUGAUGACCAUAACAUUCUACCAUCUUUUUUAGCCCCAUGCCCUCUCUCUUUGCCUACCACCUCUUUGCCUAUCUAUAGACUUCCUAUAAUCCUCCCAUGCUCCCCUCCCAAACCCACCAUGAAUCAGCCUCAUUAUAUCAGAGAAAACAUUCAGCAUUUUUUUUAUUUUUUGGGGGGGAUUGGCUAACUUCACUUAGCAUUACAUUCUCCAACUCCAUCCACUUAUACCUGCAAAUGUCAUGAUGUUAUUCUCUUUUAAUGAUGAGUAAUAUUCCAUUGUGUAUAUAUACCACAUUUUCUUUAUCCAUUCAUCUACUGAUAGGCAUCUAGGUUGGUUCCACAGUUUAGCUAUUGUGAAUUGUGCUGCUAUAAUCAUUAAUUAUGAUUAAUGUGGCUGUGUCCCUGUAGUAUGCUGUUUUUAAGUCCUUUGGGUAUAAACCAAGGAGUGGGAUAGCUGGGUCAAAUGGAUUCCAUUACCAGUUUUCCAAGGCAUCACCAUACUGCUUCCAUAUUAGCUGCACCAAUUUGCAAUCCCACCAGCAAUGUAUGAGUGUGCCUUUUUCCCCACAUCCUCACCAACACUUACUGUUGUUUGUGUUCAUAAUAACUGCCAUUCUGACAGGAGUGAGAUGAAAUCUUGAGUAGUUUUGAUUUACAUUUCUCUGAUUGCUAGAGAUAAUGAGCAUUUUUUUCAUAUAUUUGUUGAUUGAUUGUAUAUCUCCUACUGAGAGAUGUCUGUUCAAUUCCUUGGCCCAUUUAUUGGUGGGGCUUUUUGAGGGGGGGGGCAUUUAGCUUUUUGAGUUCUUUAUAUACCCUAGAGACUAGUGCUCCAUUUGAUGUGCAAGUGGUAAAAAUUUUCUCCCAUUCUGUAGGCUCUCUAUUCACCUCACAGAGUGUUUCAUUUGCUGAAAAGAAGCUCUUUAGUUUGAAUCAAUCCCAUUUAUUGAUUCUUGAUUUUAAAAAAAUCUCGAAGGAAGAAACAAGGAUUGUUUCUAUUGGAGAUCAGUAUCUUUCCUGCUUCCCUUCUCAUCCGAUGGGUGGGGUCGCUUGUUCUUAGCUGGUAUCUCUGCCCUCAGGAUGGCGAAGGUAACCAGGGAGGAAGGAUUGGUCCUGGGUAGAGGGUACCUGGAAGUGGGGUAUGGGACCUCUCAGACCCCAAAGGGAGAUUGCACCUCAAGGAUCUCAUUUUGGGCCUGCUCGUGUGAUGUGAGUACCUGGUCUUAUCUCUUUAUCUCACCUGAAGACCUUCUAGUUCCUGGUCUCUGUGUUAGCCUGUAAACUGUAUCACACUCACCAUCUCCCUUACUGCUUUCUAAUAAGAGUCCUUUGUCUAUGGGGGCUCUUGUGUGCUGUGUACCUGCCAUGCUAAGAGCUGUUUUGUGUUGGGCAGUCACUGUGCCAGGUUAGAGACUGCUGGGGAGAGGGGGGGGGAGUUAGUAACUGGUACCUGACCAGCCUGAGUUCCAAUGUGGGAGUUGCCCCCACUAAAGGUCGUGAUGAAGGUGACCCAAGAUGGAGGCAAUUGCUUUCAGUGAUGGGGUGUCAGUUGGGUGGGGAGAGCCAGACGAUGGCAUUGGAUAAUGAGUUCAGAGACUAGCUCCACCAUCCUGAGGGCAGAGAUACCAGCAUGUGGCUGUCAGCUGUCUUCAGAGACUGGGUGAAGUUCCCAGGUACAGGCAGGCUACCACACAUAGGGGACUAUCUUCGCUGCUGCAGAGUCCCAAGAUGGAGGAGAUGGGGGGAUCCAUGUUGGUAGAUGGGGGUCCACAUGGGAGUGGAGGCCAGAGUUCCUGCAUAUGGGUAGCAGCCAGGUGUCCUGCAGGGGGGCUGAAUCUGGGAUUUGUGCUUGGGUGGGUGGCCAAAAGUUCUGGCAGGUGCUGAUGCCAAUGGUCCCACUCAGGCACCCAUUAGUCCUGCAUGAGCAUGUAGUUGGGAGACCUACUCAGACUCUGAGGCCUGGGGCCCUGCAUGGGCAGGGUGGCCAUGAUUCCUGCACAGGAAACAGGAAUAUUGCUUGCAGAAAGCAGUAUUCUCACUAUUUGAGUCCCAGGUCACAUAGUGACACAGAAUGUUGCCUCCCUCUGGCCUGCCAUCUUGGAUUACCCCAAUCUUAAUUUUUAAUAUCUUAAACACUUCAUAUAUAUGUCAUAUACAUCAUAUAUAUAUAUAUAUAUAUAUAUAUAUAUAUAUAUAUAUAUAUAAAAUUCAUGUGAUGUGAGUGCCUGGUCUUAUCUCUUUAUCUCACCUGUUCUCUUUAGUCUCCAUUUUUCUUCAGCAAUAUACCUUAUUGGGGAAUAAUUGAUUAAAUGUUAGUAUCCAUUCUUUAACUUGUAUUUGGCUAGGGUCACUUUGAUCCAUUUCUCUUUUGAUCAUGAUCAUGGAAAAUCCCAUGAGAAAAAUGAAUGUGAAUGAAAAUAUGAUUAAGGACAUUUCAUUGUUUUGCUAAUGUUGCAAUUCAAGUUCUGUACUUGCAGCUUCCUCAACCUGGAUGUGGUUUUUGCAGAUUUUGCCUUUGAAUAACCUAAAACACUGAGGCUCCAGGCUGUUUCCCACAGAGACAACGUGGUCCUGUGGGGAGCAGUCCCAGCUGGUCAGGAUAAAAACUCUUCAAUUUGGACAAAACGGGGACUUGGUGUUUUCUGAGCGACCUACUCCACAACAGUGGUUUACUUAUAUAAACAAGGUGUGGAUUCCUUCUAUCUUGGCACCUGUACUCAAAAUAGAGUAACUUAUAGCAAAGUGCUUCUAACAUGGAGUAACUCAGGGUUAAACACAGCCUGAAAACUACUGUUUUAUGUAUCGUGGAAUCACUCAGAGUGGGGCACAACCUGCUCCUCACCAGCACAAAACAAAACAAGUCAAAACAAAAUAACAAAACCCAGGCCCCAAUGUGAAAUUCAAAAUAUCUGACAUCCAAUACAAAUCUAUCAAAUUUACAAAGAGGCAGGAUAGAAUUACAUGUACUUAUUAGGAUAUAAUAUCCAUGGAAGCAAACAUAGAAACAACCAAUGGAAUUGGCAGACACACAUUAAACUAGUCACCAGAAACACACGUCCUGUGUUGAAGAAAGUAGAGGAAAGGAAAAUGGAAGGAGACAGAAAAAUAUUUGAAGAAGUAAGGGCUUAUAUAUUUAUAAUUUCCUAGAGUAUAAAAGUAUCAGAUUUAAAAUUUCAACAAGCUCUAAGAAGAAAAAAUACAGAAAAAAAAUUCUGGAAGAAACAUCUUGGGCAAAUUCUUGAAAAACAGUGGCAAACAAAAUAUUCAAAGAAACUAUGGUGGUGUAGCUUGGUGGUAGAGUACCUGCCCAGCAUGUACAAAGCUCUGGGUUCAAUUCCCAGUACAGGAAAACAAAACAAAACAAAACAAAACAAACAAACAAACAAAACAUUACACACAUAGGCUCAAAGCUAAGCAUAGUACAUUUCUUGUUGCAAAAUGAUUCUCAUGUCUGAAUAUAUACCUCCCAAAUUCGUGUGUUGAAGUUCUAAACACAAGUACUUCAGAAAGCAUAGAGACCUUAGAGGUAAUUAAGUUAAAAUGAAGCCAUUAGGUUGGUUCCUACUCCAUAUGACUGGUUUCCUCAUAGGAAGAGAAUAGAACCCAGGAACACAGAGGGAAGACCACGUGGAGACAGGGAGACGAUGGCCUUUCACAAGCCAAGGAGAGAUCUCAGAAGAAACUCACUCUAGUAACACCUUGAUCUGGAACUUGUCAUCUCAAAAACUGUGAGAAGAUAAAUUUCUGUGGAGCUUUGUAUGGCAACCUGAAAAAUUCUGUGUAAUAAUAGAGCAAAAUUUUUAAAGGGCUGAAAAAAAAAAUCCUGAAAAUAUUGAACUCCAUCUCCAACAAAAAAUAUCUUUCAAGAAUGCAGGUGAAGACAUUUCAAGGCUAGAGUUGUGGUACUAAGUUCAAGGCCAAAAUGGGCAAUUUAGUUUGACUCUUUCUCAAAAAAAAAAAAAAAAGUGGAGUGGAGAAGGAGCUCAGUUGUAGAGCAGCCAGAAUUCAAUCAACAGUACUCUAAAAAUUAUUUUUUAGGCAUUAAUAUCUAAGAGAAUUUACUGCCAGCAGACCUGAACUAAAAUAAACGAUGACAAAAGUUCUUUAAGCAGAAGGAAAAAUGCUAUUAGAUUUGUACAAAAAGCUAAAGAGAAUCAUGAAUCAUAAAUAUACAAAUACAUAAAAAUUAUUUUUUUCCAUUUUUAAGUGUUAAAAGCAACAUUAAUAAAAGUUCACUGUGGGAUUUACAAUGUAAAACUAAAAUGAACUACAGUAAGGCACAAAGGAUGGGAUGGGCAACCUGUGAUGUAGAACUUCUGUCUACUGUACACAUAUGCAUAUAACUUCCUUAGAUAUACUGUUGUAAAGUUGCACACUAUAGGUGAAGUGGUAUUUUAUUUUUUGAAGGUAUACUGAAAUAAAUUGAAUAUGUAUGUUGCAAAACUUAGAGCAACAGCUAAAACAACAAUGAGAAGGAUGGCAACAGAAACAAAGAGGUACAGAUAACAAGCUAUUUUAACUUGAGAUAAAAUGGAAUACUAAAAAUAUGCUGAACCCCAAACAAGGCAAGUGAAGAAGAGAAAAGGAAUAAAGAACAAGUGUAAAAAGCAGGAAACAGGUAGCAAGCUGAUAUUUAAUGAUGAUUUCAUUAAAUUUAAGUAGUCUAAAUACUCCAGUUAAAAGACAUAGACCAUCUCACAGGGUCAGGAAGCAAAACUGAGCUAUUUGCUAGAUUUCAAGUUACACUCUUUACAUAUAAAUAGGAUGAUUGUUUAAAGUAACAGGAUGAACAAAGAUGUAUCAUGUAACCACUAAUCAAAAGAAAGCUGAAGUGGCCACGUUCAUAUUAGACAAAAGAUUUCAGAGCAAGAAUUAUUAUCAAGGAUAAUGAAGGAUUAUAUCUAAUCAUGAAGAUGAAUUUAUCAAGACAACAUAAUUCUAAUAUAUGAACAACUACUAAUAGAGAUUUAAAAUACAUGAGACAAAACCUGAUAGAACUGAAAGGAGAAGUAGUUAACAAAGUAGAAUGUUAUGUAUAAAUUUUCAAAUUAAUAUAGAAUAUUCAUUAGAAAAGACCAUAAUGUAGACCAUAAAACCACUGUCAAAAGUUUAAGAGGAUGAAAAUCAUAUAAAUUAAGUUCUUUGAUCAUGAUGGAAUUAAGCAAGAAAUUAUUAGCAGAAAUAUAGCUGGAAAAUCNGCUAUGCAGCUGGCCAUGCAGCUGGCGGGCCUACCCUUGGGCUGGAUUACAAAUGAAGGCUCUCUUACCAUAAGAAAGCAGGUGAAGGAGGUGGAGGGGGGUGAGCAAUAAGCGAUAAGGGGGGCAGACCAGGAAUUCAGGAAGAUGGCGCAGGCUGGUGACUUGUAGGCAGGGCUUGCGGUGGGGCUGCUCUCCUAGGGGCUCCUCCCGCACAAGCUACCCCAGCAGCUCCCUAUAGUAAGUCAAGCCAAGCCACCAGUCCAGCUGUCACACUAGCCAGAGGAGAGGGAAAGAGGCCGGGGGGCCUGUGGGAGGCUGGGACCCACCUGUCCUUGGGCUCACUCACCUGCCACCUUCUGCCCCUCCCAGGAUGCCUUGGCUGACACUGCUCCGCUGUUCCUGAUGGCCAUCCUGUGCUGCCCUUCUCUCGCCCCUCUGCCUUCCUUUCGGCCUGGGAAGCCUGUGUGACCUGCCCUGUCCCUCUCUUUCUUCCCAGGACAAGCAUGUGGAAGAGGUGUGGAAAAACAAGGAGCUGAAGGAAGAGGCCUCCAGGUAAAGCCCAGAGGCCAAAGAAGUUUCCAGGACAGCUGGACAGUCUCACAGCUCGCAGUUCCAGCAGCCUCGCCCGCUGACUGCUCUCCCAGUGCUGGGUUUGGAAAGAGGUGGGUGGCCCAGGGGCGUUUCCUCUGCUUUUGGUGUUUGUACAUGUAAAUAAUUGACCAGUGAAGCCAUCCUAUUUGUUUCUGUGGAACAAUGAUGGGGUGGGAGAGGGGAGAGAAGGAGAGUUUGGAAAGGAGAAGGCAUGGACAUUGCAACGCUACCCACUGCAGACUCAGCCGACCAAGGCCUCCAAUUUUCACAGCUCUGCCUGAAAGAGCAGCCUCCAGGCACCGUGUUGAGGGAAGAUGAGAACCAGGGACAGUGGAAGUUCAGGGUGAAUGAUGGGCAGAGUCCUGAGGGACCAUGACUGCAGGGCCCACAGGAUAAGAAGCCCAGCUAGAGCAGUGCAAGGCAGACAUGUCACUCUGCCUAGCAGCAGGAGGAAUGAGGUGUGUGUGUGUGUGUGUGUGUGUGUGUGUGUGUGUGUGUUAACCAUCAUUUUUAGAUCAUCAUGACCAAUGAAACAUUUACUACAAGUUUCCAGUUCUUUAUUUCCUGAAUAUGUUUUUUGGGUGACUGGUAGAAAAUUCUAGAAAUUUAUCCGCCUCCCAUCUAAUAGCAGGUGUCUCUUAUUUUUGCCAUCCAUGUAUCUGAGGUGCUGCUGGGAGAGGUUGGUUAAAUUAUGCUGGACUUUGGCAUAAUUGAAAGGUUUGCUUUUCCCUUCUUUUAAACCCUCCCUGUGGGUUGUUCCUUACUGGAUUGAGUGUAAUGAAUUGAUAAGAAAAGAAACCCAAUCUUCCUUUCUAUGGACUAACAUUCUAAUAUGGUCCCCAGGAUUCAUUGUAAGAAAGAAGCUGUCAUAAUCUGUUAGGCUAAUAUAACAAAAUACCUUAGUCUGGGUCAUUUAUAAAGGAAAGAAAUUUAUUGCUCACACUUCUGGAGUCUGGGAGGUCCAAGAUCAUCUGGUCAAAGCUUCUCUCCACUCACUCCUCAUAUGGCAAAAGGGUAAAAUGAGGGUGAAGCCCUCAUGAGCUCAUCACCUCCUGAAGGUCCUACCUCUUAAUAUUAUUGCAUGGGGGGUAGGUUUCAACAUAGAAAUUCUGGGGGAACCUCAACAGUCAGAGCCUGGCAGAAGCCCUUCUCACACUGGGAGCUUUGGGAUUCUCAGAGAAUCACAAAAUGUGAGCAAGAAAAUAAAGUGUUUGCUAGUGGAAGGCAGAAGGAGCCAUUCAAUACCAGAAGUCAUGUUCUCCAGGACCAGCACCAUGGCUGGAACCAGAAGCCCCUCCCACUCCUCCCCUGCAAACAGGAGCAGGAGGGCAGUCUGCCUGACCGGGGGCCCAGGGCAUUGCUACACCCUGCCCUGCACACUGUGGAAUUUUGUACAGCUUUGCAAAUAAACUCUUUGAUAUUGCCUUUUGUUUUUUCCACCAGUGGUAUUGCAAUUUAGCCUUGUUUUAGGAAAGGAUAACUGGAGGAUCAACAUUGAUGGUGGUGAUGAAGAAGAAGGAGGAGGCGGCAGCUAAUGCUUUGAAGGCUCUUACUAGAUACCUGGAAAUUUUCUGAACUUAUAUAUUACCUCACCUAAUUCUCACACCAGCUGGAGGAGAAACUUAUUCUUAUUAUUCUAUUGUGUAUGAAAAGAAAUCGAGGUAUAGAAAGCAUAACUCUUGCCCAAAUUCACAAAGAUAGUUAAGUGGGAGAACAGGGACUUGAAUUUGGCAGCUUUCUCCCAAGGUCUGUAUUUUUAGCCACAUCACUGUGCUGCUUCUUUAAAAAAAAAAAAAAAAACAAAAAACUUUUUAUUUGUUUAUUGUAAUCAUACAGAACAUUGGAAUUCAUUGUCAUAUUCAUACAUGCACACAAUAUAACACUAUAAUUUGGCCAACAUCCUUACCCUUUCCCUCCCUAUCUCCUCCCCCUUCCUCUACUCUACUGGCCUCCUUUUAUUUUCUGUACUGCUUCUUGACACUUCCAAACUAGGCUGUGAGUCCUAGAUCAGUGUUUCUGAAGCUGUGAGAUAUGACUCAUUGGAUUGUGGGUUCAACUUUAUUGGCCCUACCCAAUCUUCCUUCCUUCAGAAUAGAACAGAAAACUAAACAUUAAAAUGCAUUCCAGGUAAUAAGUACUUUUUUCCACAGAAAUUGUAUCUCAAUUUUAGAUUUUGUGUAUGUAUUUCUGCAUAAAACAUAUACAUAUAAAUGUGUAUAUAUAUAUAUAUAUAUAUAUAUAUAUAUAUAUAUUCAUAUAUAAAUAUGUAUUUUUAAAUUGGGGGUGGCAAUCAGACCCUUUUGAAUGAGCAUGGAGACAGGAUGUCCACUAAGCCCCAGCACCUGACCCUGAAAUUUCAAAUUAUGUGCUCUGCAUGGGGCACCUUCAAAGCAUUAGGAAACAAAUCCUGCCUUGAAAGUGUUUACAAAUGGGGCAGGAAGCUAAGUGGCAAGGCCAUGGUUUUUAAAUUUCCAAUUUACAUCAAAAUCUCUCUGAGAGCUUGAUAAAGUGUGGAUUUCUUUGUCCUGGGAGUUUGUAAAUGAAAAUAAUUGACUAGGCUUAUUGAAAUAGGGUCUUUUGAGGACCCCAUCUGCCCUGGAACCUACAAUUUAGAAAUCAAUUUCUGGUUUUUUCCUUUUAAAAAUGGUUUAGUAAGAUUAAAUCUUAUUUUAAAUUAUUUCUGGUAAUUGGCAGGAUUUAUACUAAGUUGGUAUUCACCAAGAUGGGCAAACUUGUUGUUGACAGCUAUUACCUGUCCUAAUCUGCCAGUGUCCCUCUGUUUGGGUGCAUACAGGGCCCUUCCAGCUGCACAGCCCCUUCCCUGGGAUUCUCUGGGCCUCCCCACAGUCCAGGAGCUAAAGAGUUUUGGCACCGCAGGGGGCCUCUGAAGACUGUCACUUAAGCCUGACAGCUGCCAUCUAUUCUUAUUGGUUGUUAAGUACAGUAUUUAUUUUUAAUUAACAGAUCAAAUUAUAUGAUUCAUCAUGAACAAUGUGAUGGUCACAGUUUGAACCAUUCUGAACAACAGAAAACUAAGCCAUAGGCAAUGCAUUCAAGGGCAAGAGGAUGACAGGUCUCUGUCAACUGGAGUGGGAGAAGCCUUCCUGGAGAAGAGGGAGCCUGGGAGCACAAGGACACUUCCAAUAGGCAGAGCAGAAGAGGCGGGCUGGGGCGCAGUGGGUGCUGUGCUGAGCGCUGGGAUAGGAGCUGACCUCCUAGAAGGGAACCCAUCAUCAGUCAGGAAGAGUGUGUGCAGGAAGGACACUUGGGGUCCCCAUUAUGAUGCAGUGGAAGGAGGAACUGGGGCUGAGGAAGGGAGGACUGAAGCAGAGGUGUGUUUUAAAUACUGGUGCCCUAAAUCAAUGACAUUUGGUGGAGCGAUAGCACUCCUGACAGGGGAAGGUUGGAAAUGUGGCAGCAAUUUUUGUUAGGACAGGAGAAGGUGCAGGUGGAGGCCUUGGAUUCCAUGUGAGCACCAGACAGUGUCUCAAGUCUCCCUUGACCUCCAAAUGUAAAUGAGAGACCUGUUCAGGAUGAUCCAAGCCCAGGACUUACAGGACAUAGCUUAGUUCUGCAUAAGAACAGUGCCCAACCCUGGCCUUUCUAGCUCUGCUAAUCCUGGGUUUUUCCCCUGAUGGGGUAAUGGCCUUGAGUGUAGACUAAGGAGUGGAAUAGCUAGGUUAAAUGGUAGUUCCAUUCCAAAUUUUCCAAAGAAUCUCCAUACUGCUUUCCAAAUUGAUUGCUCCAAUCUGCAGUCCCACCAGUAAUGUAUGAGUGUGCCUUUUCCCUACUUCAUCACCAACACUUAUUUUGUUUGUAUUCUUUUUUUUCAACUGUUCCCAGCUGUGCUUCAUAAAGGAGAAGUAAUUUUAAACUAGGCAGUUUAAGAAAUACUAACAUCUCAAACUAACCCAUUUUAUAUCCUUUUUUGUAAUUUUUCGGAACAUGAAAAUUUUGCUUUAAAACAUUUUUUAUUUUAUUUAUUUAUUUUUUUAAAUAAAUGACAGCAGAAUGCAUUACAAUUCAUAUGACACAUAGAGAGCACAAUUUUUUUUAUAUCUCUGGUUGUUUAUGAAGUGUAUUCACACCAAUUUGUGUCUUCAUACAUGUACUUUGUAUAAUGAUGCCCAUCAUAUUCCACCAUAAUUGCUAACCCUCUGCCCUCUCCCUUCCUCUCCCACCCCUUUCCCCUAUCUAGAGUUUGUCUAUUCCUCCCAUGCUCUCCCUCCCUAUUCCACUAUGAGUCAGUCACCUUAUAUCAGAGAAAACAUUCAGCAUUUGUUUCUUUGGGAUUAGCUAUGUUGUUUGUAUUCUUGAUAACUGCCAUUCUGACUGAGAUGAAAUGGAUGGAGUUAGAGAAUAUCAUGCUAAGUGAAGUAAGCCAAUCCCCCCAAACAUGAAUGUUCUCUCUGAUAAGUGGGUACCGAUCCAUAAUGGAGGGGGGCUUGGGGAAAAUGGAGGAGCUUUGAUUGAGCAAAGGGUAGGAAAGUGAGGGAACAGAAGGAAAGAUGGUGGAAUGAGAUGGACAUCAUUACCCUAGAUACAUGCAUGAGUGCACAUGUAGUGCAAUGCUACAUCUUGUACAACCAGAGAAAUGAAGAGUUGUGCUGCAAUAUCACAGCAGAAUGUAUUACAACUUAUAUUAUACAUAUAUAACACAAUGUUUCAUAUCUUUUGUUGUAUACAAAGUAUAUUCACACCGUUCAUGUUUUCAUACACGUAUUUAGGGUAAUGAUGACCAUAACAUUCCACCAUCUUUUUUACCCCCAUGCCCCUCUCUUUCCCUCCCACUUUUUUGCCUAUCUAGACUUCCUCUAAUCCUCCCAUGCUCCCCUCCCAAACCCACCAUGAAUCAGCCUCAUUAUAUCAGAGAAAACAUUCAGCAUUUUUUUAUUUUUAGAGGGGGAUUGGCUAACUUCGCUUAGCAUUACAUUCUCCAAUUCCAUCCAUUUACCUGCAAAUGUCAUGAUGUUAUUCUCUUUUAAUGCUGAGUAAUAUUCCAUUGUGUAUAUAUGCCAAAUUUUCUUUAUCCAUUCAUCUACUGAUAGGCAUCUAGGUUGGUUCCAUAGUUUAGCUAUUGUGAAUUGUGCUUCUGUAAUCAUUAAUUAUGAUCAAUGUGGCUGUGUCCCUGUAGUAUGCUGUUUUUAAGUCCUCUGGGUAUAAACCAAGGAGUGGGAUGGCUGGGUCAAAUGGGUUCCAUUACCAGUUUCCCAAGGCAUCUCCAUACUGCUUCCAUAUUGGCUGCACCAAUUUGCAAUCCCACCAGCAAUGUAUGAGUGUGCCUUUUUUUCCCACAUCCUCAAUAACACUUACUAUUGUUUGUCUUCAUAAUAACUGCCAUUCUGACAGGAGUGAGAUGAAAUCUUGAGUAGUUUUGAUUUACAUUUCUCUGAUUGCUAGAGAUGAUGAGCAUUUUUUCAUAUAUUUGUUGAUUGAUUGUAUAUCUCCUUCUGAGAGAUGUCUGUUCAAUUCCUUGGACCAUUUAUUGAUGGGGCUUUUUUUUUUGGGGGGGGGGCAUUUAGCUUUUUGAGUUCUUUAUAUACCCUAGAGACUAGUGCUCUAUUUGAUGUGCAAUUGGUAAAAAUUUUCUCCCAUUCUGUGGGCUCUCUAUUCACCUCACAGAUUGUUUCAUUUGCUGAAAAGAAGCUCUUUAGUUUGAAUCAAUCCCAUUUAUUGAUUCUUGAUUUUAAAAAAAUCUCGAAGGAAAAAAAACAUGGAUUGUUUUUGUUGGAGAUCAGUAUCUUUCCUGCUUCCCUUCUCAUCCAAUGGGUGGGGUCACUUGUUCUUAGCUGGUAUCUCUGCCUUCAGGAUGGUGAAGGUAACCAGGGAGGAAGGAUUGGUCCUGGGUAGAGGGUACAUGGAAGUGGGGUAUGGGACCUCUCAGUCCCCAAUGAGAGAUUGCACCUCAAGGAUCUCAUUUUGGGCCUGCUCAUGUGAUGUGAGUGCCUGGUCUUAUCUCUUUAUCUCACCUGAACAGCUUCCAGUUCCUGGUCUCUGUGUUAGCCUGUAAACUGUAUCACACUCACCAUCUCCCUUACUGCUUUCUAAUAAGACUCCUUUGCCUCUGGGGCUCUUGUGUGCUGUGUACCUGCCAUGCUAAGAGCUGUUUUGUGUUGGGCAGUCACUGUGCCAGGUUAGAGACUGCUGGGGAGAGGGGGGAGUUAGUAACUGGUACCUGACUAGCCUGAGUUCCAACGUUGGAGUUGCCCCCACUAAAGGUGGUGAUGAAGGUGACCCAAGAUGGAGGCGAUUGCUUUCAGCGAUGGGGUGUCAGUUGGGUGGGGAGAGCCAGGCGAUGGCAUUGGACAAUGAAUUCAGAGACUAGCUCUGCCAUCCUGAGGGCAGAGAUACCAGCGUGUGGCUGUCAGCUGUCUUCAGAGCCUGGGGGAAGUUCCCAGGUAUAGGCAGGCUACCGCACAUAGGGGACUAUCUUCGCUGCUGCAGAGUCCCAAGAUGGAGGCAACAGGGGAGCUCCAUGUUGGUAGAUAGGGGUCCACAUGGGAGUGGAGGCCAGAGUUCCUGCAUAUUGGGUAGCAGCCAGGUGUCCUGCAUGGGAGCUGAAUCUGGGAUUUGUGCUUGGGUGUGUGGCCGAAAGUUCUGGCAGGUGCUGAUGCCAAUGGUCCCACUCAGUUACCCAUUAGUCCUGCAUGAGCAAGUAGUUGGGAGACCUACUCAGAGGCUGAGGCCUGGAGCCCUGCAUGGGCAGGGUGGCCAUGCUUCCUGCGCAAGGAAUAAGAAUAUUGCUUGCAGAAAAGCAGUAUUCUCACUACUUGAGUCCCAUGUCACAGAGUGACACAGAAUGCUGCCUCCCUCUGGCCCGCCAUCUUGGAUUACCCCAAUCUUAAUUUUUAAUUCCCUGUACAGGAAAACAAAACAAAACAAAACAAACAAGCAAACAAACAAAACAUUACACACAUAGGCUCAAAGAUAAGCAUAGUACAUUUCUUGUUGCAAAACGAUUCUCAUGUCUGAAUAUAUACCUCCCAAAUUCAUGUGUUGAAGUUCUAAACAAAAGUACUUCAGAAUGCAUAGAGACCUUAGAGGUAAUUAAGUUAAAAUGAAGUAGGUUGGGUCCUACUCCAUAUGACUGGUCUCCUCAUAGGAGGAGAAUAGAACCCAGGAACACAGAGGGAAGACCACGUGGAGACAGGGAGACGAUGGCCUUUCACAAGCCAAGGAAAGGUCUCAGAAGAAACUCACUCUAGUAACACCUAGAUCUGGAACUUGUCAUCUCCAAACUGUGAGAAGAUAAAUUUCUGUGGAGCUUUGUAUGGCAACCUGAAAAAUUCUGUGUAAUAAUAGAGCAAAAUCUUUAAAGGGCUGAAAAAAAAAUCCUGAAAAUAUUGAACUCCACCUCCAACAAAAAUAUCUUUCAAGAAUGCAGGUGAAGACAUUUCAAGGCUGGAGUUGUGGUUCAAGUUCAAGGCCAAUCUGGGCAACUUAGUUUGACUCUUUCUCAAAAAAAAAAAAAAAAAGUGGAGUGGGGAAGGAGCUCAGUUGUAGAGCAGCCAGAAUUCAAUCCACAUUACUCUAAAAAUUAUUUUUUAGGCAUCAAUAUCUAAGAGAAUUUACUGCCAGCAGACCUGAAUGAAAAUAAACAAUGACAAAAGUUCUUUAAGCAGAAGGAAAAAUGCUAUUAGAUUUGUACAAAAAGCUAAAGAGAAUCAUGAAUCAUAAAUAUACAAAUACAUAAAAAUUAUUUUUUCAAUUUUUAAGUGUUAAAAGCAACAUUAAUAA